AGGAUGAACGCUGGCGGCGUGCUUAACACAUGCAAGUCGAACGGUGAAAGAGGAGCUUGCUCCUCUGGAUCAGUGGCGAACGGGUGAGUAACACGUGAGUAACCUGCCCCAGACUCUGGGAUAAGCACUGGAAACGGUGUCUAAUACCGGAUACGAGCUUCAGCCGCAUGGCUAGGAGCUGGAAAGAAUUUCGGUCUGGGAUGGACUCGCGGCCUAUCAGCUAGUUGGUGAGGUAAUGGCUCACCAAGGCGACGACGGGUAGCCGGCCUGAGAGGGUGACCGGCCACACUGGGACUGAGACACGGCCCAGACUCCUACGGGAGGCAGCAGUGGGGAAUUUUCCGCAAUGGGCGAAAGCCUGACGGAGCAAGACCGCGUGGGGAAGAAGGCUCUUGGGUUGUAAACCCCUUUUCUCUUGGGAAGUAACGCAAUGACGGUACCAGAGGAAUCAGCAUCGGCUAACUCCGUGCCAGCAGCCGC
Molecule: ribosomal RNA, 480 nt
Filed under: uncultured bacterium
Lineage: Bacteria
Description: SSU rRNA
Rfam family: Bacterial small subunit ribosomal RNA
Source: RNAcentral